Molecule: unclassified non-coding RNA, 245 nt
Filed under: uncultured fungus
Lineage: Eukaryota; Fungi
Description: partial contains 5.8S ribosomal RNA, internal transcribed spacer 2, and large subunit ribosomal RNA
Rfam family: 5.8S ribosomal RNA (bases 1-52)
Source: RNAcentral
AACGCACAUUGCGCCCGCCAGUAUUCUGGCGGGCAUGCCUGUUCGAGCGUCAUUUCAACCCUCAAGCCCAGCUUGGUGUUGGGGCACUGCGGCGUUCCGCAGUCCCUGAAACGCAUUGGCGGGCUCGCUACAACUCCGAGCGUAGUAAUGUAUCUCGCUAAGGAAGUGUGGCGGGUGCCGGCCGUAAAACCCACAAUUUUUACAAGGUUGACCUCGGAUCAGGUAGGAAUACCCGCUGAACUUAA